This is a long non-coding RNA of Rana temporaria (common frog), 794 nucleotides long. RefSeq lists it as uncharacterized. The transcript is spliced from 5 exons. Lineage: Eukaryota; Metazoa; Chordata; Amphibia; Anura; Ranidae. The record is from RefSeq and is a predicted model, not a curated record.
AGGCGGACGGCCCACACACAGGUGGUGCCGUUGCAGCCUAAUAGAGGAUACUACAUAUGCAGCUCACACAGCCAUCAGCUUCAGUGUGAGCUCGCUGUGUAUGUGAAGACAGCAUUUAUAUUGAUCUGUGGGUUUCCAGCUCUGUAAGAUUCACUUGUCCUAUUUAAACUUGUGAGCUUCUAACAUACUCGGCGCUGGGGUCCUUUUUGCCUUCAAGCAAAUGAUGUGGCCACACUGACUAGGCUCCUUUCUGUUAUGCAGUAAGGGUUUCUGUUUAUUUGAUCGGCUGCUCAGCAUACCUUCUUGGAACCACAGAUCAAUAAUAACAUCCACCUACCUGACAUCUACACCCUCAUUUACCUUGCCUCUGAAAUACUCAGCAGGCUAUAGUAGUCCAUUCAUGGGCCUGCGCUGUCUCUCAGGUAUAUCCUUGUUACACAGGGACACCUUCCACCACUAGGGGGCGCUUGCAUCCAGGUUAUGGUUUUGUUGCGAUCGCUGCUCCAUGUGACCUCAUCCCACUUCUAUCAGACUAUCACCCUCCACGGGUUCCUGACGAAGCCUUACCGGCGAAACUAGUCGAACCUCUCUACGUGGGGUCUGAAGAAGACUACGUGCAGUCAUCUGCACUAUUAGUACUUUUUCCAUUUCUUGUCUGAAUAUUUUAAACUUAUGUCAAAUUUUUCUAUGCUUUUUGUAAUAAAUCUUUUAUAUCUAAUCAAUUGUUUGCUUGUAUGAUCCAUUUGUUUGGGGUUUGAUCAGGCUUAUACCAGGAUCCAGGGAUCCAUCCGAUC